CGGGUGCUGCCCGGCGGCCCCCCCGUUGGCGGGGGCAUGGCUGGCAUUGCUCAGUGACACCCUAUCUGCCAGGGCCCGGCCAGCCGCGGGCCCAGAAUAGCAGCGCUGCCCUGCAGUCAGCAUGGAGCAACUCCCCGGCCCCGCUGCUCCCCAGAUGGCGCCGCUGGAUGCCGCUGCCCGCCCCGAGGACGAAGGUUUGCCCGCAGGGUUCCCAGAGGCGCCGUGCCCCAGGGAGGAGGAGGAAGAGGAGGAGGAGGAGGACAGGCGGAGGAGCCCCAGGCCCGUCACCUUCACGCUGGGCAGCGAGGUGCUGGGGCUGGGCCCCGAGGCGGAUUUCCAGACCCCCGACGCCGAGGUCUACAUGCACUUCUUGAGGAGCCACUGCUGCUACGACGCCGUCCCCACCAGCUGCAAGCUCGUCGUCUUCGACACCAGCCUGGAGAUCAAGAAGGCUUUUGUGGCGCUGGUGGCCAACGGGGUGCGUGCCGCCCCGCUGUGGGACAGCAAGACGCAGAGCUUCGUGGGGAUGCUCACCAUCACCGACUUCAUCAACAUCCUCCACCGCUACUACCGCUCGCCCCUGGUUCAGAUCUACGAGGUGGAGGAGCACAAGAUUGAGACGUGGAGAGAGGUGUACCUGCAGGGCUCCUUCAAGCCGCUGGUCUACAUCUCACCGAGCAAUAGCCUCUUCGACGCCGUCUACUCCCUGAUCAAGCACAAGAUCCACCGCCUGCCCGUCAUCGAGCCCACCUCGGGCAACGUCCUGCACAUCCUGACGCACAAACGCAUCCUCAAGUUCCUCCACAUCUUCGGCUCCACCAUCCCCAAGCCGCGCUUCCUGAAGAAGACGGUGCAGGAGCUGUGCGUUGGCACCUUCCGCAACGUGGCCGUGGUGCCCGAGACCGCCCCCAUCUACGCGGCGCUGGAGAUCUUCGUGGACCGCCGCGUCUCCGCGCUGCCCGUCAUCAACGACGCCGGGCAGGUGGUCGGGCUCUACUCCAGGUUCGAUGUCAUUCACCUGGCGGCCCAGAAGACCUACAACAACCUGGACAUCAGCGUGCGCGAGGCGCUGCGGCAGCGCACCGUGUGCCUGGAGGGGGUCCUCACCUGCUACCCCCACGAGACCAUGGAGGACAUCAUCGACCGCAUCGCCAAGGAGCAGGUCCAUCGCCUGGUUCUGGUGGACGAGAACCAGUACCCGCGGGGCAUCGUCUCCCUCUCCGACAUCCUCCAGGCCCUCGUGCUCACUCCCGCAGGUAUCGAUGCUCUUAACUCUUAGCCCACGACGCUCCAUCUUUCUCCAUUCGCACCCUCCAUUUCUCUCCGCUUCAGGCAUCGACUGAAGACACCGGGGAAGUGCCGCCGCCGUCUCGUCUGACUCGGGGCCUCUUGCUUGGCCCGGCCCAGGCACUGGCGGGGCCGUGGAAGGAGGCUCAGGCCCUGGGGGCUCUCCAUAUGGGGGGGCUGCCCACCCACCCCGCUGCUGGGACUCGUCUUGAGCCCGGGGCCAGCUCCCUCCAGCCUUGGGGAGGACCAAGGGCGAGCACGUGGGGAUGCCUGACGGGCACCGUGCCGAGAAGGGCUGCGCAGCCGGGUGCAGGGACCCUCCUGGCCACCCCCAUCCCAUCCCAUCCCAAACUGCUGCCGGAUCCCAGUGCUUCAGCCCCCGGUGAGCUGGGUCCUGCUGGCUGUGGCGGCACCGGGUGCUGGGCUCGGGCACAGGAGGGGCACAGUGGCGUGGCUCAGCUGCACACACAGCCUUGUUUAUUGUAGGGUCUCCUAGGGCUGGAGCGCCCCGGCAGCGGUGCUUGCAAGGGGACCUUGCACACUUUUUUUUUUUUUUGGGGGGGGGUAUUUAUUUCUGUGCUUUGUUGGAAUAAAGCUGCCCGCCCCAGGCACC
Molecule: RNA transcript, 1900 nt
Organism: Oxyura jamaicensis (ruddy duck)
Lineage: Eukaryota; Metazoa; Chordata; Aves; Anseriformes; Anatidae
Gene: PRKAG3
Gene name: protein kinase AMP-activated non-catalytic subunit gamma 3
Exons: 13
Source: RefSeq, a predicted model, not a curated record